This 2538-nucleotide long non-coding RNA is filed under the name Homo sapiens (human). Its description in RNAcentral is "long non-coding RNA NONHSAT194907.1". Lineage: Eukaryota; Metazoa; Chordata; Mammalia; Primates; Hominidae. The record is from RNAcentral.
CAGAAACUAGCCAGGUGUUCUCAAACCCCGUUCCUCUUUUCUUCCUGCACACUUGGUUAGAAUACAUUUCUCACCCUCUCUUUCAGUUAGGUGAAUAGACAUGACUGAGUUCAAGUAAAAGGAGUGUGAGUUAAAAUGACACAAACCACUACACAGCAUCCUGCAUGCAGCCCUUCAUGCUGUUUUUCUUUAACAAGCUUAGCAGAGAUAAGCAUAGAAAUGUUAGAAGCAAGAGUCGAAGAUGGCUGAGCCUCAAGAAGGAAGGAGGCUAUGGCUUUAUGGAGGAGAGCUGCCUGAAUUUCAUUUGUCCUGAGAGAGUGGAGGAACUGGAGAUAGGUGACGAAUUCCAGUUAUGAAAUGCAGUCUCUAUGGAGUUGCCAAUUCUUCUGUUUUGUUACUGUCUUUUGGGCUCAAGUCAUUAAAAUUGUGUAAUUCUAUGCCUUUAAAAGUAUGAAGAUAUUUUUAUUUAUAUAAAUUAAGUUAUACAAAAACUGGACAAGUUGAUAAUUAUUUACUAUCUCUUUGUCAAGUUUAAUUUUAUUUUUCUCAUGUCUCAAGCUAUUUCUCUUUUUCUUUUCUAAGGCUUUGUUAAAAUUAGAAGCUGGGAAAAAUAAUUUUCAGUUGGCCUUUGGAAGUAUAUAAUGUGAAAAAUUUAUCUUCUUAAUUGAAUUGCACACUUAUGAUAUGUGUGCUUUUCUGUUUCUACAUUUCAUUUUAAAAGUUAAAAGAAAUGUAACCUUAAUAGAGUAGUUUCAAGUAUAUCUACAUAUAAGGAUUAUCUGUGCUUUUUCAAAAUUCGAGACAGAGUCUUGCUCUAUUGCCCAGGCUGGAGUGCAGUGGCACUAUUAUAACACACUGCAGGCUUGAACUCCUGGGCCCAGGUGAUCCUCUGGCCCCAGCUUUCCAAAGUGCUGGGAUUACAGGCGUGAGCCACCAUGCCUCAUUCUAGUUGUACAUUUUUGCUUUAUUUUAUUUUUAUACAAUUUCCUCGACCAUAGUCUGGGAAACUGAUUCAGAAGGUCUAGGGUAGAGUCAGAUUAUUUGAAAUUAUUUUUAAGAAGAUCUCCAGGUGAUUUUGAUCACCUCCCAGAUUUGAAACAACUCUAACACACAGAGAUGAAACAGAGGGAAAAACUUACAUACCCACAAACCAGAAGGGUUCAGUAAUUAAUAUGGAUCAUUUACAUUGCAGUUUAUUGAUUUGAUUAUUGCAUUUCUCAAUAAAUAAAAAGUCAUGCCAAUGAGGUAACUAUGAGCAGAACAAAUGAAUUGUGGGGUGCAUGUAUAAUGGAAUACACUAUUCCAUCAAUAUUGAAUGAACUAGAUGGAAACUGAAUGGAUCUCACCAAUAUAUUUAGCAAACAGAAAAAAAAUUGCAGAAACAUAUAUAUAGUGUGAUACGUGUAAACAGAAGUUGAAGGGCAAAAUAUACCAUAUAUUACUUAAGUAUAUAUCAAUGAACACACAGGAAUUUUAAAAAUACCAAAUUCAAUAUAGUCUUUACCUCUGGUGGAGAGAAGAGGAGAGAUACUCAAGAUCAACCUUGGUAAUGUUGAUUUCUUUUUUUAGUGGUGAGGGUAAAAUUUUUUUGUUUUAAUAGGAGCCUUACUACCAUUUGUAUCUGAAAUAUUUCAUAAGAAAUAAAGUUUGUUGGUUAUGGAAAUAGCCUGAUUUUCAUUUUCAUACAUGCAGAGGAGAGUAAAGGGAGCAGGCGUUUUAUGUAUCUUCAAUACAAUAAGUUUAAAAUGUCAGAAAUCUGUUGACUCGUUUUUGAAAGAAUUGAGAAAAUAAAAGGUAGAAAGUAGUGAAGAAAGUUUCUCUAAGAUUGCCUUAAAUGCCUUGAAUUGUCUCUCAUCUCAUGGAUGCCAUGAGGGAGGUUUACUCAUUUAAAAUAGUAAGUGAGGCAUGCAAAAUAAAGGAAAAAGUUCUGUAUCUAUGUUCUUUAUUAGUUUCCAAUGUCAUCAUUUACUUUGUUAAAUUAAUUCACGUUACUUUAGUCUAAAAACCACUAAUGAAAAAAUCCAUUUGGAUUCAUAGAUUAGGCAUGUGACAGGUAAGAUUUGAACUUACAUGUACCAUGCUUCCCUUCCAUCCUCAAUAUUUUUUUUAAAAAGCACACAAAUGCAUGAGAGUGGUUGCAGAUUACUUUCUGAAAGGAAGGAAGCUUUUGUUCUUCAUUUUGAUUUUAGAGGAGUUAUUUAAAAGCCCAGUUAUACUCUUUACUUGCAAACAUUUUUGGCUAUUUGUGAAAGUUCACCUCCAAGGAAAUCUAAUCAGCCAGACAAGUUAUUGUUUCAUUUUAGCCUGAAAAAAAAAAUCACACAUAUAUAAAAUUACACACACACACACACUUUUAUUUUAAAGAUAGGAGGUCUAAAGAAUAUAAAAUAUGGCAAUGUGUUUCUAAUGUGUUUGAAAUGAUCAUAGCAAAUAGUGAAUUGCCACUAAAUUAUCAACAAAUUAUUUGCAUUUGACUUUUGCGUCAGUUUCUAAUUAUCAUAUAACUUGAAACAUAAACAUUGGUUAAUACUCUUUUGC